GUAACUUUACUUAUUUAAAAUAUUCUACGACUUUUUGUCAAUGAAUAGAAUCUUUCAUGAUUCUUUGAUAAUUUAUAUUGCCAACUGAAAAUAUCGGAACUUAAUGAACAUCUUGGAAUUCAAAUAAUUAUUAUUCAUUCAUUCAAAGUAAUUAAAAUGAAAUUAUUGUAAACAAAUAACUUGAGAAUUAGGAAACGACAAACCUGUACAAGCACAACGAGAAGAAGGUCACGUAAGUUGUACGACCAUCAUUAUAAUUGUAAACUCACCAAAAUUUCAGAAUAUAAUUGUUCAGAUUUAAAAUUCUUUUAUUUAAAACUAACGCCUUGUGUUUCCAGGUAAGACACUUUCCCAUUGAUAAUACUGGGGAAUAAUUAACUUCAAUUCAAGGGGACCUUAUUAUUCAGCUCUCUAGUGAUUUGUUUUCUAACAUUUGCCAAUUAAAAUUUAUUUCAAAAGUUUUCAUACUUUUCAUGUCAUUUUCACAUGACAACCAAUGUUAUAGUCGAGGUUUCAUCAUUCCUGACAUAACAAUUUGGAGAAAGUUCCAGUCUAAACAAUCCAGAAAUAUUUUUGGCGAGAAAACAUUUGCAGAAAUUUUUAAGAAAGAAAAUACUGAAGAAAGAAAAUACCCAUAAGAAGUAUGCAUAUGAAUUUGAACUUGUAAAUUGUGGAAUAAAGAAUAUAGAAUCUUCUUAUCGGGCAGUCUGUAAAAAAUUGUAACAUCAGUAGGAAAGAAAGAAAUAUCCAAAAACCAUUUUCGUAGGCAAUUACAUGACGUAUUAAUGGAACUCUUACAUUGUUUAACGAAGCCACUACUUUCAUCAAGCCAGAAGAUCGAUUGGAUGCACAAGAUCCACUUAUAAUAUUUAAUCAACACUUGUGAUUUGUUAAUUAUUUCGUGAUAGAUGUAUUUAUUGACAAUAUUUUCAUUUUAUGUUGCAUUAUUAUUCAGUAAGCUUCGGUGAACAUAUUUAUUUGCGAUAACUCUAAAGUUUUAACUUAUUUUGUCACACUGAUCUAAUCGGUUUUUCGAUUUUUCAGGAUAUAAAAACUUUCUUGGAAUCGAAUCUUAAGGGUUUAUAUAUUUUAACAGCGUAUAGGGAGAAUAGAGACCUCCAGGAAGAUGAUAAAGCUCUGCUUUGCCGCAUUCUAGCCCAAUGGCUACUGAAUUCAUGGGCUUAUCCAGACACGGCGAUGCUGACGAAAAUAGAUAAAAGAAAACAAAUUUUUAUUCCCCAAUGACGACGAUGAAUAUUAUGUUUCACUUCAAGACGACGGUGUGAACAAAGUUCUUGCAUCUGGGAGACUUCUUGUAGUAGUGAGAACAGAACGUGCCCGGAUGAUCGAGAAGCAUGUUCUUAUUCCAAGUCGCAAGAGGAAACGUGUAGAAGACACUUCACGUGAAGAGUCUGCUGAUUCCACACUUCCAACAGAGCAACAAAGAAUUGCUCUUAAGUGGCUGCAUGUGAAACGUGAGUCCCCCGAAACAGUGCAAGAAAAGUGGGCGAUCACAUGUGAACCACGUCUGGCUCGAUUGAAGAUCAAGAAGAGUGAGAAACUCAGUGAUUAUCUUGAUGAGUUUCCAGUUCUUCGACUGAGUUUUGGAAAAGCUUUGGUUGCUAUUGACUUCAAACAUUUGGACAUGGACAAACAUGAGAAUUUGAUGAAGAAUUGGAGAACUUUCAGGAAGAAGAUUAUUGAAAUCAUUAAGAGUAAGACUUGCUGUGAUAAAAAUAUUAAACAUAUUCAAGCUGCGCUUAAGAAUAAAAAUUCAGAAGAGGGAAUUAAUGCAUUGAUUCUCCAUUCCCUUUCCUACAUCUUACCUGCAAAACAUCAAGCACAAUUCCACGGUAAAUUCAAAAAGAUUUCAGGUACAGAAGCUCGAGAUUCCUUGAUUCAACGCGUUCCGGUAUUUUUUUAUAUUUUUUUUUUCGUAGCUAUUACACCAAUAUUUCGAUUUUUGUGUAUACUAUUUUUUUUUUAUCGAAAACUGUCUAGACUACGAAAGAAGUGCAAGAAGUUCGUGACAGAAUUAUUUCAGAAGCAGCCAAGGAUAAGUUAACAGUUCAACCAUAUAUACUAUAUGUUGGUUGGGAACUUACAGUCGUUAAGGAGGUACACUUAUGCAUAGACAAUUUUUGUUACUCCUGUAGGAAUCUGUUGGACGGGUUGGAUAUUUGUUUCAAAACCUUUUAUGCAUUGGAAAUGAAGUAUCCUAGCAGGUCCAUGCAUAUUUGGACAUUAAUUCAAAAAGCUAUCUGUGACAUCGAUUUCGACGAGAAGAAUCCAAUGUUCCACGAUGUUGUUAUGUUCUUGUCAACAUUGAAAAAAAUGAAAUGAGAAAAUUCUCAUCAUUUUGUGACGGAAUGUUAGAAAUUCCGCCACCUGUACGAGAGUUCACCGCAGAAUUGGAAAAUUGCGGAUUUUCGAUAGAAAGGAUUGUAAGGAGAGAGAGAGUAAACGGGGAUUAAUCAUCUUAUUUGUACCUGUGCGGGAAAUAAAAAUACAUAUCUGCAUUGUGAUACGGGACAUUGGCAUAAGGGAAAUUAUCAGCCCCGAAGAUUCUGACAGCUCGAAAGAGGUUAUGUUUGAUGAAAGAUUGUUAAAAGGAACAUUCCUGCAAUAAUCUUCGAUCAAAAGCAUUGACAAUCACUGCAAACCCUGUGAGAAGGCUGUGUGUAACUGAGUGAGGUAAAUCAUUCAUCGAUUUCUGAUGCAGCAGAAUGUCCCAGCAUGACCAUUAGUCUGAUGCAAUAGUGGAUUAUCGAGCGUCAGCUCUCACAGAAUAACCCAUAGUCAUAACCCCUCGCCUUAUUACGUUUUUAAGUUGAAGAAGAGUAUCGAGGCACUGAGAUACUUUAUUAUGUACUCAAAUGUAUCUGUGGGAGGAAAGGAGCUACUUCGGAUCAAGCACUACCCCAAUGAAAUCGGAGUGUUCCAUCGAUUUCUCCAGUGAGCUAACAAAACUGGAUCCAAUGGAUGUUUCUCCACCCAGCGAAAAAAAUUCCAAGAUUCGUUAUUUACUGCUGUACCUCCUCCUCUCAAGACUUCAAAACCCACUGAGGGCAAUACAGUCAGCAAUAAAAUCAAAUCUGGUAACGAGUGACGCUCCUUAGACCUAGGCGCUUUUAAAUUCGAGACAAAUCUGCAACGAUAGACAUGCCCAAAGUUAAGAUGCAUGGAAGAGUCUAACGCAAAGAAAAAGCAGUGAGAAAUACAGAGUUUUGUAUUUGUUACUUAUCGUAUGAUUCAACAAGAAAUGGGAGAAAAAGAUUUGGAACGAUGCAUACAUGUGUUCACCAUAUGAGAUCAACCUAUUGUACGACUUCUCUUGACAAAUUAAUUUCAAUAUAUGAAAAUUUGUGUCCAAGCCAAGAUCAAAUUACUCUCAUUUCGGGAAGCUAAUUAUUACCAUUGAAAUACACUAUAAGGAACUGUCGAUUGCACUUAAUGAAUGCAAUAUAGUCGAUAAACUGUUUAUCAUAAAAAAAAUUAGAAUAUUUAAAAUAAUAAAAGAAGUGUGUCUUGGAAUUAUUUGUCUAAAUGAAGUAAUUCUUGAGUUUUUCUAAGUUUCAUUUUUUUAUUAACUUAAUAGUUCUGAAGAUUCGUACAGAUCUCAUAAAUCUUUUAUAUUUCAUCCAAUGAAAGAAGGUUAGCUCAUGUGUAAAAAAUGAACAGUCAAACUUGAUUGUGAGGGUCACGAAGGGAAAUAGUUAGUAGAAAAUUGUCGCUCGUUCAUAGAAGAACUAUGAACGUUCUAUUCUAAAGUGAAUACAAUAUCGAAAUAAUUGGAUCACUGGAAUUUUUGCAUGGAAUUUCUCUAUCAUUGAAUAUAAUAAUAAAUGCAGACGUUCCCAAAAUUUGAUAUAACUUCUUGAUUUUCUGUCAUUUUUUAAGCUACAGAAAACAUGUAUGUUAUUUGCCAUCGAAUUUUUCGGUCUUUAUUGUUCCAUUCGAUAAAGGAAUUCCAUGCUAGGACACAAUUAGUGGGAUGUAUCAUAUCACCACCUGUUGAUAAUUUGUUUCACGUAAACCAGGCAUCACAACUUCUCAUAACUGUGGUCCUAGAUGUUCAGUUGCAUUCACGAAGAAAAUUUAGAUUGAAGGAAAAGAAACGUAAAUCGUGCAUGCAAACUACAUCCCCUGGAGCAAAAGAAUUAGUGCUGUAAGUAUGGAACCAGUUUUUUUUAUAUUGUUUUAAUUCCAGUUCACUUUUAUCAUCAAAUAGUAUAAAAAGGUGGAAGCCUGUAUGAUGUUUUCGUAUUUUUUCAUAUUCCAUCAUUUGUACAUGUUUUUCGAUCUUUUUUUUAUUUUUCCGCGUCAAAAAUAGGCAAAGAAAUUCUGAUUCAAUUAGGGUCACGAGAAGACAUUUUUUUGUUGGGAACUGUGCCUACAUCAUGAGAGGACACGUGUUUCUUAUUUCGAAGAAUAAUUGAGAACUAUGAAGUGAUGAGCGAUUGAGAAUGACAACAUAUAAUAGCGUUUUGCAAAAACACAGAAAUACGUAGUAUUGUGACAUCAUAAUUUGAUAUAAUUCCGAAAUCGUAUUAUCUUUCAAGAAAAAAAAUACGUAAGUGAUUUUCCAUCCACUUUCCGUAUCUCAUCGCUGUUUUGAAUGAAGAAAUUUUAUGAAACAUUUGAAUCAACAGAAUGUGUUAUUUCACUCCUAAUAAUUUUCUUGCACGUAAUUCUCCUAAAUCAAACUUUUCCUUCUCAAGAAACUUCCAAUAAUUACAGUACUACGUAUUUGAUAAUGAAUUCAUGAAAGAACUAAAGAGAAAAGAUGUAAAUUAUGCAUAUAAGCUGUAUCGUCUGUGGAGAGAGGCUUUGCGUUGCAGGUACAACAACAGUCUUUCAUAUUGUUCUAUUUACAGUUUACUUUCAUCACGAAAUAAAGUUCAAACAUGAGAGUUUGUAUUAAAACAA
This is a long non-coding RNA of Diachasma alloeum, 4929 nucleotides long. RefSeq lists it as uncharacterized. The record is from RefSeq and is a predicted model, not a curated record. The transcript is spliced from 10 exons. Lineage: Eukaryota; Metazoa; Arthropoda; Insecta; Hymenoptera; Braconidae.